Molecule: ribosomal RNA, 447 nt
Filed under: uncultured eukaryote
Lineage: Eukaryota
Description: bacterial SSU rRNA
Rfam family: Eukaryotic small subunit ribosomal RNA
Source: RNAcentral
GCGAAUGGCUCAUUAAAUCAGUUAUAAUUUAUUUGAUCGUUUCUACUACUGGAAUAACCGUAGUAAUUCUAGAGCUAAUGCCUGCACUAAAGCCCGACGCAAGGAGGGCCGCAUUUAUUAGAUCCCAAACUCAAUACGCUUCGGCGGUAUCGAUGAUUCAUAAUAACUUCACGAACCGGGGCAACCUGGUGGUUCAUUCAAAUUUCUGCCCUAUCAAGUUUCGAUUGUAAGGUAGUGGCUUACAAUGCUGGUGACGGGUAACGGAGAAUUAGGGUUCGGUUCCGGAGAGGGCGCCUGAGAGAUGGCGACCACUUCUAAGGAAGGCAGCAGGCGCGCAAAUUACCCAAUCCUGAUACAGGGAGGUAGUGACGAAAAAUAACAAUGCUUAGCCCUUCGGGUUGAGCAAUUGGAAUGAGAACAAUUUAAAACCCUUAACGAGGAUCGAUU